Molecule: ribosomal RNA, 96 nt
Filed under: Exallage auricularia
Lineage: Eukaryota; Viridiplantae; Streptophyta; Magnoliopsida; Gentianales; Rubiaceae
Description: 5.8S ribosomal RNA
Rfam family: 5.8S ribosomal RNA
About the family: 5.8S ribosomal RNA (5.8S rRNA) is a component of the large subunit of the eukaryotic ribosome. It is transcribed by RNA polymerase I as part of the 45S precursor that also contains 18S and 28S rRNA.
Source: RNAcentral
GCAACGGAUAUCUAGGCUCUCGCAUCGGUGAAGAACGUAGCGAAAUGCGAUACUUGGUGUGAAUUGCAGAAUCCCGUGAACCAUCGAGUUUUCGAA